UUCUUAUCAAGAGAAGCGGAGGGACUGGCCCUGUGAAGCUUCAGCAACCAGCCGGUAUCGGCCAGGUGCUAAAUCCAGCGAAUUGGAUUCAAUUCGGAAGAUAAGAA
Molecule: non-coding RNA, 107 nt
Filed under: Anoxybacteroides amylolyticum
Lineage: Bacteria; Bacillati; Bacillota; Bacilli; Caryophanales; Anoxybacillaceae
Description: Anoxybacillus amylolyticus SAM-I sequence
Rfam family: SAM riboswitch aptamer (S box leader)
About the family: The SAM riboswitch is found upstream of a number of genes which code for proteins involved in methionine or cysteine biosynthesis in Gram-positive bacteria. The SAM riboswitch acts at the level of transcription termination control. The predicted structure consists of a complex stem-loop region followed by a single stem loop terminator region.
Source: Rfam by way of RNAcentral